Molecule: long non-coding RNA, 830 nt
Filed under: Pan troglodytes (chimpanzee)
Lineage: Eukaryota; Metazoa; Chordata; Mammalia; Primates; Hominidae
Description: long non-coding RNA NONPTRT017675
Source: RNAcentral
UGAAAAUCACCGAGGGCGACCUGUGGAUCCGCACGUACGGCCGCCUCUUCCAGAAGCUCUGCUCCUCCAGCGCCGAGAUCCCCAUUGGCAUCUACCGGACAGAGAGCCACGUCUUCUCCACCUCGGAGGUUCUGGGGCAGCCUGGGGGCUGGGACUGUGGCAGCCCCUGUCCUGUGUGACCCACAGCAUCCCCACCUUCAGUGUCGGGGACCUGGGCUAGAUCAGCUUUGCUAUUGCUGGCAGCUCCUUCCGUCUGGUCCGUGUGCCCACGUGUAGCGCUUCCAGCUGGAGCAGCCAUGACCCCUACCGGGGGCAGAGAGGCUCAGGGGAGGCUUCAGGAAGAAUACGGGCAGCCCCUGUGCUGCAGUCCACACAGCAGCAGGCACCGUGCCCACCAGCCCUAAGCAUGUUCCGUGCAGACCCCAGGCUGAGGCGGCGUGGGGGGCAGGGGUGCGCCCGCAGGUCCCAGACUGCGCCUGUUUCCUUUGCAGCCCCACGACCUCAGAGCCCAGGUAAGCAACCCCUCCGUGCCCACGCAGCUUCUGCGGAGCACCAGAACAUCGCAGCUUCACAUGGAGAAGCCUGCCAGGCCCCACCCACCCACAGGGCCCUGGGAAAGCCGAGGCAGGAGCGGGUCCCAUGGAUGUGUCGGCCCCAGCACGGCUCAGAGAAGGCUGUUGACAGUCACUCCCUCCUGCACUGGUGGUGGGGAAGCUGAGGCCUGGGGGGAGUAGCCUUCCCAGAUCUCGGUGAACGUGGAGGACUGUGAGGACACACGGGAAGUGAAGGGGCCCUGGGGCUCCCGCGCUGGCACCGGAGGCAGCUCCCAG